Molecule: ribosomal RNA, 468 nt
Filed under: uncultured bacterium
Lineage: Bacteria
Description: partial 16S ribosomal RNA
Rfam family: Bacterial small subunit ribosomal RNA
Source: RNAcentral
GACGAACGCUGGCGGCGUGCCUAACACAUGCAAGUCGAACGGAAAGGCCCUGCUUUUGUGCGUUUCUCGAUUGGCGAACGGGUGAGUAACACGUGAGUAACCUCCCCUUGUCUUUCUGAUAACUUCACGAAACUGGGGCUCAUACCCGAUAGGAUCUCCUGCUGCAUGUUGGUGGUUGGAAAGUUUCGGCGGUUGGGGAUGGACUCGCUGGUUAUCAGCCUGUUAGUGGGGUAGUUGCAUACCAAGGCUAAGACGGGUAGCCUGCCUGAGAGGGGAACCGGCCACAAGAGUACUGAGAGACGGCGCAGAAGGGAACCGGAGGCAACGGUGGAGAAUAUUACAGAAUAGGCGGGCGCCAGAGGCGAAAAUGCCGGGAGCGGAAUGACGUCCUUCGGGUUGUAAACAAAUGUCUACUGAGACGAGGAGUGAGUGACGGUAAUGGGUAAAGAAGCACCGGCUAACUACGUG